GACGAACGCUGGCGGCGUGCCUAAUACAUGCAAGUUGAGCGCUGAAGGUUGGUACUUGUACCAACUGGAUGAGCAGCGAACGGGUGAGUAACGCGUGGGGAAUCUGCCUUUGAGCGGGGGACAACAUUUGGAAACGAAUGCUAAUACCGCAUAAAAACUUUAAACACAAGUUUUAAGUUUGAAAGAUGCAAUUGCAUCACUCAAAGAUGAUCCCGCGUUGUAUUAGCUAGUUGGUGAGGUAAAGGCUCACCAAGGCGAUGAUACAUAGCCGACCUGAGAGGGUGGUCGGCCACAUUGGGACGGAGCCACGGCCCAAACGCCUACGGGAGGCAGCAGUAGGGAAUCUUCGGCAAUGGACGAAAGUCUGACCGAGCAACGCCGCGUGAGUGGAGAAGGUUUUCGGAUCGUAAAACUCUGUUGGUAGAGAAGAACGUUGGUGAGAGUGGAAAGCUCAUCAAGUGACGGUAACUACCCAGAAAGGGACGGCUAACUACGUG
RNAcentral lists this ribosomal RNA (497 nucleotides) under uncultured bacterium. Its description in RNAcentral is "partial 16S ribosomal RNA". It matches the Rfam family "Bacterial small subunit ribosomal RNA", at positions 28 to 507 of the family's 1533-position model. The record is from RNAcentral.